This 1700-nucleotide ribosomal RNA is filed under the name Triticum aestivum (bread wheat). Its description in RNAcentral is "partial small subunit ribosomal RNA". Lineage: Eukaryota; Viridiplantae; Streptophyta; Magnoliopsida; Poales; Poaceae. The record is from RNAcentral.
GUGUCGAAUGUCGAAUCUUCGUGUUCUGUUCGUUGGUUUAGAAGAAGUCCCAGGAGACGUUACCGCAGCAGGUGGUACCGUGAGAGGAGGGGCCCAGAACGGCGCCGGUUCUAGCGGAGGAGGUUGCACAAACCGCUCCCGGCGUAGUGUUACGCGUUCUGCCGCCGGUUCCGGUUCGGGCGGCGAAGGUCGUCGGGCACCAUGCCGGGCCUGGCACGGGAGAUAGAGCCGGGUGAGAGGCCACUACGCGGCAGGAUGGAGUGGCCGCUCAAGGGGCCCCUGAUGCCGACCCUGUGACGGCCCGAGAGCCGACUGGGGCUCUGCAAGAGCUUCUUGUCCCUCGAGCUCCACUAGGUGACGGCCACCCGGUACGAGCCACGAGAGCCGACGCAGAAGGGCCUCGAGGAGCGAGCGUUGCCGCAGUUCAAGCCACUCCGGCACACCAAGUUUCGACCAAGAGUCUAGAAGUCACUUCCACCGGACCUGAUGGAACCGUUGGGGUCGGAACAGGUGCGCGUCUCGUAGGAACGGUAAACCCGGACGGUCCAGCACGAGUACCCGCGACAGCUCCCCAUGGCGCAACGGCCACCGGGCGAGCCACUCUAGCAGCUGGGGGAGAUGGGGCCGCCAUCGAAGCUGGGGGAGCCAGACCGGCUACUGGGACUCCGCAAACGCCUCGAGUUCCACUUCCUCUAGUUCUUACCGGCCGAGCGGUACAAGAGGUACAAACCGAAGAAGCAGGUCCGGUAGCAGUGGCCGUUCCCCGGGGAACUCUUGGAACGGCUGGUGGAGCGGCUAGGGCAGUUGUUGUUGCGGACCCGUAAGCGGUGGUUGAAGCAGGGGCCGUUCACUUAUACUCCGCUACGGGCAAGAGACGCCGCGAACCCUACCUUGUCUGUACUCAACACACUUUGUUUCGUUCGCCAUGACGUCGAAAAAAAAGUGGACAUGCUAAUAAGUAGGCUACUCCAGUACAUUGUCAUAAACUAACCAAAUAGCUUGUUCUUACUACCAUUUGAAGGUUUUCUUUUUUUUUUGAACGUUCUACUGCCAGACCUUCUAAUGACUUUAAGAGAGACUUUGUUUACGUGUCAUCCACUCGAGUCCCAACGUUCUCGUCGGUUCCUGACAUUUUCUUCUUCUUCUUUCUUUUGUUUCCUCAGACGAUAAAGUUACCUUUUAGUUCACCGACAUGUCGUUCGCUCGAGUACCAAAUUCAGUAAUGUUCACUGUCCGCUGCCUCCCUCCUCCGUCUGGACUAAUGCACCCUCACCUAAACUUGGGUCUUCCUGUUCGACAGGAGAAUAGAGUCGACAAAACAUUCAUAUUACGUAUCGACUAUUCUACAACUAGGAGUACUCCUUGAUCGGAAAAUUAGGUCGCUUGGACUGAGUCUUUUGAAGUCAAUACGUAUAGUUAUGAAAACUUUGUGUUACUACGACGUGUUUGUGAAGUAGACUGUUUUCUUGACUCUUGUCAAUUUUCGAAACGAGCUAACGUAGAUCAUCGUUUAUAAGUUUACUCUUGAAACUUCCGGCUUCUCCUCUUUCCAGGAGUUUUCUAAUAAGAACAAUUUUUACAACGUAUUUAGUUUCGACAGUUCCACGAAGAGGAAGGAGUAACGUUCCACGUGGAUCGUACAAGAAGGGGGGCAAGAUAGACCUUAUUAAAGAUGGCAGGUAACAAAUUGUUUUCUAGGG